UAGGGAAUCUUCCACAAUGGACGCAAGUCUGAUGGAGCAACGCCGCGUGAGUGAAGAAGGCUUUCGGGUCGUAAAACUCUGUUGUUGGAGAAGAAUGGUCGGCAGAGUAACUGUUGUCGGCGUGACGGUAUCCAACCAGAAAGCCACGGCUAACUACGUGCCAGCAGCCGCGGUAAUACGUAGGUGGCAAGCGUUAUCCGGAUUUAUUGGGCGUAAAGCGAGCGCAGGCGGUUUUUUAAGUCUGAUGUGAAAGCCCUCGGCUUAACCGAGGAAGCGCAUCGGAAACUGGGAAACUUGAGUGCAGAAGAGGACAGUGGAACUCCAUGUGUAGCGGUGAAAUGCGUAGAUAUAUGGAAGAGCACCAGUGGCGAAGGCGGCUGUCUGGUCUGUAACUGACGCUGAGGCUCGAAAGCAUGGGUAGCGAACAGGAUUAGAUACCCUGGUAGUCCAUGCCGUAAACGAUGAAUGCUAGGUGUUGGAGGGUUUCCGCCCUUCAGUGCCGCAGCUAACGCAUUAAGCAUUCCGCCUGGGGAGUACGACCGCAAGGUUGAAAC
RNAcentral lists this ribosomal RNA (554 nucleotides) under uncultured bacterium. Its description in RNAcentral is "partial 16S ribosomal RNA". It matches the Rfam family "Bacterial small subunit ribosomal RNA", at positions 355 to 900 of the family's 1533-position model. The record is from RNAcentral.